AUAUAAUCCUCCAAAGACCAUUUUCCAUUGUGAUGUUUCCCCAGCCCUGCUUAGCCCAUAGGAAUUGAUUCAUAAGGUUCAUAUCCUUGAUUGCCAAAUCAUCUUCUUCUUUGCUCUUCCAUGCUUGUUUCCAGUUUAUCAAGCAUUUGAGACCUUCAUGUAUUCUUUGCCUGACCAUAACAAGGUUCUUCUACAACGAUCAAUUUUCCUGAUCAACCAAGCUGGUAACUUGUGUUUGCCCAUGAAU
RNAcentral lists this long non-coding RNA (247 nucleotides) under Elaeis guineensis (African oil palm). Its description in RNAcentral is "long non-coding RNA (EGUI_LNC027771)". The record is from RNAcentral. Lineage: Eukaryota; Viridiplantae; Streptophyta; Magnoliopsida; Arecales; Arecaceae.